This 253-nucleotide ribosomal RNA is filed under the name uncultured bacterium. RNAcentral describes it as "partial 16S ribosomal RNA". It matches the Rfam family "Bacterial small subunit ribosomal RNA", at positions 524 to 776 of the family's 1533-position model. The record is from RNAcentral.
GACGGAGGGGGCAAGCGUUGUUCGGAAUUACUGGGCGUAAAGCGUACGUAGGCGGCGGAUUAAGUCGAAUGUUAAAGCCUGAGGCUCAACCUCAGAGAUGCACUCGAUACUGGUCUGCUAGAGGGUGAUAGAGGAAAGCGGAAUUCCCAGUGUAGCGGUGAAAUGCGUAGAUAUUGGGAGGAACAUCAGUAGCGAAGGCGGCUUUCUGGGUCACACCUGACGCUGAGGUACGAAAGCGUGGGGAGCAAACGGG